CCCCUAGUAACGGCGAGUGAAGCGGGAAGAGCUCAAGCUUAAAAUCUCCGUGCAAGUUUUGUGCGGCGAAUUGUAGUCUAUAGAAGCGUGGUCAGCAUGGGCACUUGGGGCAAGUUCCUUGGAAGAGGACAGCAUGGAGGGUGAUACUCCCGUUCAUUUCUGAGUUGCUCGUGCGUACGACCCGUUUUCUUUGAGUCGCGUUGUUUGGGAAUGCAGCGCAAAGUAGGUGGUAAAUUCCAUCUAAAGCUAAAUAUUGGUGCGAGACCGAUAGCGAACAAGUACCGUGAGGGAAAGAUGAAAAGAACUUUGAAAAGAGAGUUAAAGAGUACCUGAAACUGCUGAAAGGGAACCGAAUCGUUUCCAGUGUCUAUAAUCCGUGGUAUAUUUCAUUGGCGAGUGUGUGCGUGCGUGUGCUGUGGCAGCGGCUUUUUUGGCUGCGCUCGGCGUGUGUGCUGUGUGUGCUUGCUGGUGCUCUGUGCUGCGGUGGGACGUCAAGGUCAGUUCGUAUGCUGCGGGAAAUGGCUGCCGAGGAGGUAGGGCUUACGCUUGCGUUUGUCUGUUAUAUCUUGGUGGACGAGUAGUCGCGGUUGGGACUGAGGUGCCUACAACGUGCUUUUGAGUGGGUUUGUGUCUCCGUGUGCGCCGUGUGCGGAUAGCUUGCUAUGCGUGUGUGGUUGUGUGUGGAUUGAUGCGAGCUUUAACU
This is a ribosomal RNA of 703 nucleotides. It matches the Rfam family "Eukaryotic large subunit ribosomal RNA", at positions 77 to 619 of the family's 3401-position model.